This 1092-nucleotide long non-coding RNA is filed under the name Cottoperca gobio. RNAcentral describes it as "lncRNA (ENSCGOG00000000531.1)". Lineage: Eukaryota; Metazoa; Chordata; Actinopteri; Perciformes; Bovichtidae. The record is from RNAcentral.
AUGGUGGAAAUGGAACAGAAGAGUGAAGAGGAAGAGGAGGAGGAGGAGGAGGAGGAGGACAUUAGUUUGGACAGCCUUCUUAAGAGAUCAAGGGAGUAUGUGAAGAGAGAGCAGAGUCAGCAGGGGUCAAAAGUUGUCACCACAGUCACCAGAACUCCUCCGCCGGAGACUGUCUCUGACAAGGAGAACAGGAGCUGCAGUCCCAUGGGGAACACAAAUGUUGAGUUUGGAUUCAGUCUGCACCACAGCCCUAUUGGCCCACCACAGACCCAAAUCCAGCAUCAAACUCUGUACGACCCCAGUCCCCAACAGUAUGGCUGCCGCUCACCUACUCUACCUAACCGAUAUGCACGUCUCCCCUGUCCAGAGUCCAGCAUUAGUCCCCACGCACAGAGACGCAGACCACGCCCAGUUUCUACAGGAAACAUACAUAUUUCGUUUCCCAUUGGCGCAGCAGACCUUAUCCCCUGCAGCCCAGGGAGGUCAGGGGAAGGUGCUAGCAUGGCAGAAUGGGGAGGAGCUCUCUCAGGGGCCAUAAAGUCUCCUGAUCACCGGGGCUCACUGGGGAGUGAAAGUGGUGGUGGUGUUGGCAGUGGCAACAAUCGAUCGAGCCACUGUGGUACCAGUCCAGUGCAGGACGCCUGUAGCCCCGCUAGUGCCUCAGGGUUUAGCCCGAAAGGACACCAUGACUAUCUGGCUGCAGGAUUUCGCCGGCGGUGCCACACUCUGGACAGCCAGCUGCAGAGCUACCACUCUGGAGUUGAACACAUAGACCGCAGCCAGGAAAGGGUUCCUCGCUUCAUGGCAGGAGUUACAUGGAUGGCUUCAGGUUGGCGCACCCCUGCAGCCCCUUUUAACCAGUCAUAUGAGAUAGAUAAUCCCUCGCUAUCUCUGCUAAGGCCCUCUAUCACUUCUGACUUGGGUCAGGUCACACGCAGAAUGGAGCCUAAUGACCCUCAGGGGACAAACAAUGGAAGAAUCACACCAACUGUCCUUAGAAAUGCAGCCGAGACACAGGCCAGCAAGACAGGUGAGUCUCCCUUGUACAGUUCCUGUAAUGCACAAUGUAUUUACCAACAUCUACAGAGUUAA